Papaver somniferum (opium poppy) is the source of this 742-nucleotide long non-coding RNA. RefSeq lists it as uncharacterized. The record is from RefSeq and is a predicted model, not a curated record. The transcript is spliced from 4 exons. NCBI's taxonomy places the organism in Eukaryota, Viridiplantae, Streptophyta, Magnoliopsida, Ranunculales, Papaveraceae.
GUAGAUUACUGAUAGCCGUUAGAUCUAGGGCUGGUAUAUAUAGAUAAUUUUGGCUAGGAUUUCUCAUUUGGUCUCUCUUUUUUCCCGUCUUCUCUCUGAGAAAGAGAAGAAGAACAUGAACUCCAUUAGAGUUACAGCCAGCCUUACAGGGAAGAUUUCUUCUCUUCUCCAUACUUCAACUCCACGAACUCCAUAUUUCACUCUCGAUCCAGAAGAAUAAGAAGAAAAAAUCAGUGAUUAAAUCGUUUCCCUCGGAAAAGAUUCAAGGAACAGUCAAUCCAACUCAGAAAUUGUUAACCAAGGGUUAUCUUGCUUAGUUGUUGAAGCAUGUUAUUGGACUAGAGACAAGACAGCUAGUUGCUCUUACUGAGUGAUCAAUCAUGGAUGCAUCAAUUCCUAGGGUUCGGAACAUAAUGUGGCGCCUUUUCACUAGGAGAAAUGUUGCAUAAGCCACUUGCAAUUAUUGUGGACUGACAUUUAGGACUCACAACUGCAAAAAUGGAACAUCAGCAUUGUGAAAGCACUUUAAGAGAUGCACCCACAUUCCUAAUCAUAACAGAGCUCACAUAAAUAAUGCUUAGAAAUUAUGCUUAGUGGUUUAUGUGUAAUGACUAAUGUGUACUGCAGUGUAAUAUGUAAUGGCAGUAAUGCAGCUUUACUAUUUCGUAUUAAGUAAACCAGUUUGAACUUUGAUGUCUUUAAUAUUUAUGAACAAUGUCUUUAAUGUUUAUGAACUUUUAUA